This 298-nucleotide ribosomal RNA is filed under the name uncultured Sphingomonadaceae bacterium. RNAcentral describes it as "partial 16S ribosomal RNA". It matches the Rfam family "Bacterial small subunit ribosomal RNA", at positions 111 to 426 of the family's 1533-position model. The record is from RNAcentral. Lineage: Bacteria; Pseudomonadati; Pseudomonadota; Alphaproteobacteria; Sphingomonadales; Sphingomonadaceae.
UAACGCGUGGGAAUCUGCCCUGGAGUGGGGGAUAACCCGGCGAAAGCCGGGCUAAUACCGCAUACGUCCUGAGGGAGAAAGAUUUAUCGCUCUAGGAGGGGCCCGCGUCGGAUUAGCUAGUUGGUGAGGUAACGGCUCACCAAGGCGACGAUCCGUAGCUGGUCUGAGAGGGUGAUCAGCCACACUGGGACUGGGACACGGCCCAGACUCCUACGGGAGGGAGCAGUGGGGAAUAUUGGACAAUGGGGGCAACCCUGAUCCAGCAAUGCCGCGUGAGUGGUGAAGGCCUUAGGGUUGU